Molecule: long non-coding RNA, 3438 nt
Filed under: Gouania willdenowi (blunt-snouted clingfish)
Lineage: Eukaryota; Metazoa; Chordata; Actinopteri; Blenniiformes; Gobiesocidae
Description: lncRNA (ENSGWIG00000011475.1)
Source: RNAcentral
AUGAUGGAAGAUAUUGAUAGGGAACUUGGGGAAGCUGAUGUGCGGAAACACGGCAAGAAUAAAGCUCAGACGUCCAGCUCUGAUAAUGAUACAUCGUCACUUCCAAGAGAAAGUGGGGGGGAAGACCAAAGAGAGAUGAUCAAGAGACACUUUCCUAUUUCCAUGGGAGCAGCUGAUAAUGAAAAAUAUGAUUCGGAGCUCUCAGCACUGCAUACACAACUGGCCAUAUCAAACACAGCUCUAAUACUGGCACAUGUAGACACAGGGCAUUCAAACACACAAACACAUAAAGAAACUGAGGCUGAGAAGGAGGCUAGUCAAUAUGUGAGUGUGAUUGCUAAAGAUGACUCUACCCAUUUGAGGUGGCCUGUCAGUUGGCUUAAGUUCACCAAGGCUCAACCCCACAUUUCAUACAGCUGCAACCCCCAGAGCUUGAACCUUCAACUACCAGAACAAUUAAAAACUGAUUUUCAAGAGUUACAACGGAAUCACCCGUGUGCUCUUUCUGAGGAAUCUAUUUCAUGUGUGCCAACAAUGCUUACACCCGACACUCCUUCCUCUUUUCAAAGACAAACAAUACAAGUUGUGGGCGUACACUGUCAAGAAAAAGCUGAGGACACAAUCAAGGAACAAAUCAAUGAGGAGACAGAAAGCAUUUCAUUAUCAGAAAUGAAAGCAGAGAAGGAGAGCAGCAUGCCAAGUAUGAAGAAUGAGAAAUGCAAAAGGCCCAACUCCGAUUCAUUUGAGUCCACUCAUAGUGGCAGCUCCAGUACAAACUCCCAGAAUCCUCAGGGAGACAGAUUACAGGGUAUAGAAGGGAUCAGGGAGAGAGCCAUUGAAGCCCUGAGCUGUAAAUUAGAGUCUGUCACCCAAACUGGCACACAGAGGACGUGCAACAGGCUAGCCUGGUGUGACUAUGGGAGUGAGGCAACAUGUGCCAGUGCUCCGCAAUCAUAUAUAGGCAACUCAAAAGCAUCCAGAAAAAAGUCAAAAGCUAUGACAAAGAAAGCCAAGCUGGGAAUGCGGAAGAAAUAUGGGAAUAAAAAGUCCUUUAUAAAGGGUCAAUCGGUGAGGUGCAAAGUAAAAAGUGUUGUCUCUGCAGUCUCCAUUGGAGAAGCGAGGAGAGGAGAAGCUGGAAGGGAAUGGGGUAAAAAAAUGAUGCAAAAAGAGACCAAAUUGAGGAGGAUUGGGCGUGCACAGAGUUCCUCUCUCAUGGGGAGCUGUAGGGAGGAACUGAAAUCUCUCUCUGUCAGGAAGAGAAGGCCUCAUAGGUCACAACCAGAGAGAGAAAAGGCUAAAAACUCCCUUGCCCACUCCCAGCUCACUAGACACACAGCAGACAGAGGUACAGUCGGGGGAAGAAUUCGAGAUGGAAAUGCAUCAAUUUCUCCCUGGCGAUCUCCCUUCUCUGUACAUUCCUUCUCUCCAGGACGUAACUCAGCCCUGUUUUGGGGAAAGGGUCACCAUAGCAACCCCAGGAGUUUCAUUGACUGCUGUUACCCUGACAACAGCAAUGGCAGCAGGCUAGAGAAUAAGAGGAAACUCCUCUGUGGGGACAGGAAAUUCAUUCAGACUAAGCAAAAGACUUUAGAGCAUUGUGAAGUCUGGAAGGAAAGGGGAAGGAAUUCUGGAGGAUUUUCAGCUUGUAGUGAGAUUGCUAAACAAUGGGACUGGAUGAGAGAGAAUCAUCCUGGUAGUGAUGAUAAAGCCAGCUCAAGGAUGAGGUGGAACUCUAAAAGAAAAACAUCAGAUUGGCAUCAAGUGGCAAGGUUCAGCCCAAGUCCCAGUUGCUGGGGUAGAAGGCACAGACAUUUUAGCACAGAAGAUAUUGAAUGGGACAAAUGCAGUGUGGAUAGAUGGACAUGGGGCAGCAGCGACAGCUGGGAGGACAAGGAGACACGUAGGUCACCCUCCAGAACAGGUGAUGAAAGUACAGACAGUCCUAACAGUGCAUGGAGAUACGGAGGCACCAGAUACUUAAGUUCAAGACAGUGCUCUAGUCCAGAUUGGUGGACAAAUAAGCCAGUAUACAGCUGCCAAAGUGCGUUUGACACUGAGGGCAGCAGAUUUCACAGUCCACGGUCGGGCAGUCCUUGUAGUAGUACCAGCAUGUCCGAGCUGAGCUUGGAGUGGAGCAGGAGUAGUACGUGGUCUGGGGCUUCUGUGGAUGGCUUGGCAAUUAACUCCUGUGUAGCAUCCUUAAAGUCUUUUGAGGAAUCUGAGGAGGACAAAAAGCACAGCAGUCCCAUGUCUACUUCAGAUGUCUUUUCCGUAAACUCUGUUUCCUCUCCACUGAUACACACUUGUUCUGCAACAACACAAAGUUCCAGUGGAAAGCGAUGUGAUGAAAAUCCCUCACAGUUAAAUGAUCCCCACGCAAUACCUAACCUUAGCCACGAAUCAUCUUCUGCUCUCACUAUAAGGAGCUCAAACACAUUUACUCAAGAAUUAUCAAUAAGUAAGACUAAUACCAUGAAAUCAGCAAAGUUGCCGCUUCUUCCUCUGAUAGGUAAACUACCUUCAAUCCAAAGAAAAGCUCUGAGGAAAAGGGAAUUGUUAGGAAAGACUCUGGAAAAGGAGAGGGAAGGGGCUGAAGAUGGUAAAAGUUGUACAGUAGAUCCUGACAGAGGUGCCACUGACAGCCUCAACACAGUUGAAUCAAUCCCCAGUGGCAUGCCACAUCUCUGCUCAUUGCUGACUGGGACUGGUGACAAACAGGCAAGUGCAGAGUCAGCACCACCUAUCAGUUUUACGGCUGAGGAGAUGGACAAUUAUCGGCUCCUGCAGGAGCAGGCAAAGGAGCACAUGCAGAAAGUUCUUGAAAGGACACACGAAUGUCCUGAAACAACCUAUAUACACAAAGCACAAACAAAUAAUGGUGAGACUUUAGAGAAACAACACACAUCAGCGCCCUGGCAAAGUCAUACACAGUCCCAAACCCAACUUAUUCCUCCAGACACAAUGCAAAGACAAUUAUCACACAGCGUCCAAGUCAGUCUCCCACUUCCACAAGUGCCCCUGCAAGAGAACUUUAAUCAUUCAGUGGUCUUUGGUGUCCACAGCCUCAGUCAUCUUCAAGCAUCAACACAUCUCUCAAACCUUCAUCCCAUCAUAUUACAACACACCCCCCUAGCUGUGCCCCUCCACACUUCUACUACCUCCUCCCCCUCCACUGCUAUCCCACAACACCCUGCUCACCUUCUUCACCCAACUCUGCACUUUCCCUCCUCAGUACCUCAACCUAUUCACCUCUCUCCCUUCACCAAAUCUUCCUUGUUACCCUCCAUUCUUCUGUCUCAUCACCCCCUUCCUCUCUUUCCUCAGCCAGCUUUCUAUACAACCCCAAUCACACCACUCUCCCCAGCAUCCCUGCAACCCUUAAGUCCACAGCCUUUCAUGGACAGAUUGUGGCCCGUCAAGUUUCAACAGAAGGCAUGA